ACCUCAAAAUAACCCCCCCACCCACUCAUCUCGCACAACAAUACCCCAAUCCCAACCCCAACAAAACUUCCAAGACUGAACUUCCGGGGACUCGGCGGCGCCCACCUCGCUUGGCUCAUUGUAGUGUACAAUUCUCAUUUGACAAUUUCAAACGAAAAGUAAAAUCAAAUAUGAGAGUUGUUGUCGGUAGUUGUAUCUCGCUCUCCCCAAUCGCCGCCCUUCGCAAGCCUGCUUACCGCCAUAGCUUUCGACCUUCCAAAACCCUAGUUCCGUCUUCCCUUUCAUCGGCUCCUCUUCCUCGUUCAACAUUCUCCCGAUUCUCGACCACCGCUUCUAUUUUGGCACCGGAAUCGAUGUCUCCGGAGCCCAAACAGCCUCGGAAGCCGUGGCUCAUCGUCGGUCUUGGAAACCCCGGCAAGAAGUACAACGGAACUCGCCAUAAUGUUGGUUUUGAAUUGGUAGAUGCUGUUGCUGAAGCUGAAGGGAUAUGUGUUACCAGUGUUUCUUUCAAAGCCCUUCUUGGCAAAGGUUAUAUUGAAGAUGUUCCAGUUAUGAUUGCCAAACCGCAAACUUUCAUGAAUGCAAGCGGUGAGUCUGUUGGAGCCAUAGCCUCAUAUUACAAGAUUCCACUGAAGCAAGUACUUGUGAUCUAUGAUGAUCUAGAUUUGCCUUUUGCCAAAAUGAAAUUGUUGCCAAAGGGUGGACAUGGAGGGCACAAUGGGAUGAGGAGUAUCAUUGAUCAUUUUCAAGGGAGUCGCGACUUUCCUCGUUUGAGAAUUGGUAUUGGGCGACCUCCUGGGAAAAUGGAUGCAGUCAACUUUGUUCUUCGACCGUUCAAUAAACAAGAACGUGAAGAGGUUUGUUAAGUCUAAUUUUGGUUGGCAUAAUUGAUAGGUACAAAGUCAUGGCUGGAGAAUUUUUUUAUUGAAAUUGGGUUACAAGUUCCAAGUGCUCGAGACCUUGGAUAUCUUUACCGAGAAACUUUUUUCUAACAAGAUUACAAUCAUUUUCGUACUCCUACUCAUCAUCGAUACCCCAAAUAUAAACAACUCUCCCCAUUUACCACACCAAGUAGGCUUACACAAAACAUUCAUUAAGAAUUACUUAGCUGACUAGGAAAACUAAUAGAACACCAAAGUUGCUAUGUCCUCAAACUCAGCAGUGACAUCCUUCAUAAAUCUGCUAUCGUUGGUGUCUCGUCUAUCAUCGUGUUGACUUGGUCUGGUUCUACUAAAACUCUCGAACCUUCACUUAUAAUAGUCUUCAGCAUGGUUUUAAGAGAAACUAAUGUCUUGCCAAGAGAAGGGUCUCUCCUUGCAGUGUCAACAGUCUCAUUCCCAGCUGAAACUUCACUGUCUAAAGUUUUCAAUUUGUAUGUGCCAUUCCGAGAGUGGCCAACCACUAAAUUCCCAAUAUCAAGUUCGUACUUCCAAGGUUUAAAGGCCCUUGAAGUUGAGGUGCUCUUCCCUUGCAAAUGCCCUCUCUCAUCCCCAAGUCUCCUGACCCAAUAAUCACACCAUAAGCACCAGUAUUGGUCGCUGUUAAUCCCAUAUUUUGGAUCACUUCCUUUGAUAAGAAAUUAUAGGUUGCGCCUGGGUCUAUUAAAAUGACCACUGGUUCAUUUAUCGUGCCUUUUAUCAUCUCUUGGGUGUUGUGAGGCCUGUUCCACUGCUUCACUGAUUUCAGAUACGUCCAGAAUGGGAUCUUGAUUAAUUUCUGGGUCUAAUUCCUCAUUCUCAGCCCCCUCAAUAUCAGGCACAAUUACAACACUCAGCUCCGUAUUCUUACUUAUAGACUUGUCCUCUAUGCCGUGUACGGCUCUGAUACCAGAUACCAUUCCAUAGGUACAGGUACAGGGUCGUGGCUGAAGAAAUUCAUUAUUGAUCCUAAGGAGAAAUCGGGUUACAGUUUCGAAGUAUUUGAGACCUUGGAAAUCUCUACAGAUUACAAUUAGUUUAGUACUCUCUACUCUGAUCGAUAGCCCAGAUAUUGGGUUACACAAAAACAUUCAUUAAGACUAAGAAAAAUAAUAAACACGUGUGAUGAGUUCUAAUCGAGAUGAACAGCUUUGUUAAUUAUUUAUUUUUUGUCGAUCCCUAUUAGAAUUCAUCACACAAUCCUUGUUUGAAAUUUUUUAACAGGACGUAUGUUUUUAUAUGUUUCUGAAAAAAAAUUGGUAUUUAUCCAAUAAAUUUACAAAGAAUUCAUUUUUUAUUCUUUGUCCAGCCAAAAAAAAAAGAGAGAAAUAAUGAACGCAGCUGUCAAUCCCGAUUGAAUUCAUCACACAAUCCACGUGUUUGAAAUCUUUUACAAAAGACAUAUGUCAGUAAAGCUUCUGAAAAAUUAAAUUUUACAUUCCAAGAUGGAAUAGAAGCAAUUCGGAUCCUUCUUCUUCAGGGCUUCAAUAAAAGUGCAACAUUUGUUAAUAGUGCCAAACCCUUGAAACAACUUGGUUGAUUGGACAUAUGAUAAAACUGUAAACCUUAUAUUCAUGCUAAAGCCUAAAUGAUUAAAUCCUACACAGAUUCAAUGAUUUUUUGAGACCAGGUUUGACUGUUACUAUGAAACUGGAGAUCAAUUUCAAAGGCCAAUUCAUUGAAGGAGCUGCAGCAAAAAUUUUUGUCCAACUUUCUCUUUUAUAGAAUUAUUAAAGGCAAUUUGUAAUGUAACAUAAAUUCUUUAUUUUAAAGUGUAUUUAAUUGUUUUCAAUACUAAUAUUUGGAGUCUCUACAA
RNA transcript from Cannabis sativa, 2733 nucleotides. It is a transcript of the gene named peptidyl-tRNA hydrolase, chloroplastic, with no coding region annotated. Lineage: Eukaryota; Viridiplantae; Streptophyta; Magnoliopsida; Rosales; Cannabaceae. The record is from RefSeq and is a predicted model, not a curated record. The transcript has 8 exons.